ACACACUAUGCCUUUUUAAAAAAGAUCGCGAUUUAACAGCAUCAAAUUAAUUGUCGACGCGACAUCGAAAGUUAAUGGAUGGAGAGGGCGCUGAGCUCUGUGACGUCAUACAACAACAAGGGUUUGUUUGAAAAUGGCUGCCUCCAUGGCCUAAGGAACCCUCCUGCACUUACGUUUUCGAUAAAAAUGGCACACAAUCAGGAGGGAUAUUUUUCGUGAUGGUUUUCUGUGAUGAAAUAACAUGACUGGAUGUAGAAGAUAGUGCGCUAUCGCCAUGGCAGGUGUUGGGAACCAGAGAACAUCGGAAAGUCCGACAGACGUCCAGUCCCAGAUUACUGACUACUUGUCUAAAGACGGACUGAACCCACAAUGUGCAGACACAGAGAAACUCCUGUAUCUAUGGCGACUCUACCAGAAUUCACAGACGGACCUGAAGCUGGCGCGGGAGUUGGAGGAGAAGCUGCGACAGUCCCAGUCGGAGGAGAUGAAGGAGGUGGAGAACUAUGUGGAACACAUCCGCCACCUGUCAGACGAGAGAGAGGCUCUCAUACAGGAACUGGAGGGCGAGAACGAGGCUCUCAAGUCGGAGGUCGAACAAUUCAAGGCCAAUGAGAGUGAUGAAAUCCGUAAAGAAACGUCAGAGAUGCUUUCACAGCAGGGACUGGAUGAGAUUGCCAAGGCAACAAGCAGUGAACAGAUUGCCUUUCUUCUGGUGGAACGAGCAAGGCUAUUGGAUGAGCUGGAGGCGGAGCAGAAUAACAGCCAAUCAGGUGACAAGGAUUCAGAGGAGUUGAAGAAGAUCCUGGAACGAGAACGUGACGACUUUGAGGAGGAGAUGCAGCAACUACGACAGCAGGAGAACCGGGCGCGGAGUUCACUGAAGCACGAACACGAGGAGGAGAUUGGAGCACUCAUGGAUGAGAACGCCAAGCUGGAGGACGACCUCAAUUCUUCCAAACAAAAGUUGAAGGAACUUGAAGCUGAGAUAAACAGACUCACCGAUGACCUUGAGAAUGAGCACAACCUGCGUCAGAGCGAACGGGAAGAACGUGAUGAGGAGAGAAGGAAGGAGAAAGAGGAUAGAGAGAAGGAAAGACAAAAGGACAAGGAAUCCCUCAUGGAAAGUCCGCGCCCCCAAAGAGCCGGACUGACGCGCUCGGCCAGUGAUGUGUCUCUCAGGAGGAUCAUAGAGGAGAAAACUAAAAUAGAAGGAGAAAUAAUUCCCCUUCGCAGCAAGAUCCGAAGCAUGGAGACAGAGAUUGGCAAGAAAGAGGAUGAAUUGAAAAAGAUGAAGAAUGAUAUGGAGAAGGGGCUGAUGCAGCAGCAGCAACUCCAGCUGAAGAACAAGAACCUGCGAGCUGAGGCAGAGGAGCUGGAACAACAGCUGGAUGAGGCAGAGUCAAGUGUUGAGAAGUUGUCGACCACCAAUGAGGAACUGUCCACAAAGCUUUCCACUUUACAAGAGGAGGUGAAGGUGCUUAGGUCAGAGUCUCAGAAGGCCUCCACACUCCAGGAUGUUGUAGACAUUAUGAAGAACGACAAACAGAACCUCACGGACAAGAUGGCAACCUUGAAGAAUGACCUUGCUGAAGCUGAGGCUGAAAGGGAGGAAUUAACCAAUCAAAAUACAUUGCUAACAAAGAAAGAAGAUGAACUGACCAAUCACAUAGACUCUCUUAAACAGGCGAUCGAAUUAGCCAAUGAGGAGAGAGAAAAGAUGUGUAGGGACAAGGAUGACCUUUUGGCCUCCCGGGAGGAACAGGAGGGUCAGUUGAGGUCACUUCAUGAGGAGUUGGAAACACUCAAGGCUGAUAAGACGUCUCUGAGUGAAAACACAGAGUCUAUGAGUAAGGACAAUAAGGAACUGACCAAUCAGAUCGCUCAGCUUCAGGAGGAGAUGCAGAAGAACCAGUUAUCACACAGUCAAGAACUUGCCAAACUAGAGAUUAUUUCAUCUCACAUGAGAGAACAGAACCAGAAGCUGACUGGUCAAAUGUCCGACAUCCAGUCAGAACUCAAUGACACGCGAGUCAGUGAGAACACCCUCCUACAAACACAGAAGUCUCUUAUGACCUCAAAUGAUGACUUGGAAAAGAAAUAUAAGCUUGAGAUGGAUGAUAUCACGACCAAGCUGCAGAUGACGCUGUCAGAGUUGACCAAGACACGAACCACCCUUGAACAUGAACAGUGUGAGAAAACAUCUCUCUCUGACAAACUGUCAUUUUCCGAGACCCAAAUCCAUGAACUGACCAAGCUGAGGGCAUCACUUGAACAGGAACGAAAGUCAAAAUCAGAUUUAGAGUCGAAAAUUCAUGAAACUGAGAUGAAGUUAGCGGAAAGGACAAUGGUAGCGGAUGGGUUUGAGGGUGAGCGUAAACAGAGGAUUGAGUUAGAGAGGAAAGUGUUUGAUUAUGGCAAUGUGGAGGAUGAUCUGACAACAGCCAGAGAUAGACUGGAUCAGGAGCGGCGGAUGCGGAACGACCUUGAGGCCAAGGUCCUGGACUUGGAGCAGAUUCUGGAAGACCUGCGGAUGGACAAUGAGAACCUGCAGCACACCAUGGGCAACAAGGUGAAGUCUCUGGAGGCCCGAGUCAGGGCGCUGCAGGAUGAUCUCUUCACAGCGCAGGACGAGCUGCAGAUAGCACAGGAGAAGUAUGAACAGGCUGCAGCAGAGUUGGAGGCGUUGAAGGUGGAGUCAAGGAUUCAGCAGGAGACGCUAUCCCAGCUGCAGAUGAUGCCACCGGCGCCGGCGCCAAUCCAGGUCAACACCAAUGGUCAUAACGUGCACAAGUCACAGGACAUGAUCGACGGGGACAACCGUACCAAUGAUAGUUCCAAAGAUGUUUCUGAGCUUGAGACCAGCCUGGAGCUCUCCAAUGCCAAGCUGCAGGAGACGUUCGGUGCCCUGCAGACCUCCUCCAACAAGGUGAGUCAGCUGCAGCAGGAUCUUCGGUCAUCCAAUCAGAAGCUGGAGCAGCUGCAACAGGAUCUCCGGUCAUCCAAUCAGAAGCUGGAGCAGCUGGAGCGAGACUUCCAGCAUGCUGAAAAGUCACUUGAAAAUGCUGAAACCCAACUUGCCGAGACAAAGAAAGAACUCGCUCAAGUGGUGAGUUCUCGCGACGAGGUAGAAUCUCGGAUGCUGGAGUUGAGACAGGAGGUUGAGGCUGUGACUCGUGAGCGAGAUGGGUGUAAACGGGAGACGGAGCUUGCAAAGACAGCCAAUCAGUAUGGCUCGGAGGAGAGACAGAAGCAUCUGGACAGGAUCAAGACUGUGGAAGAAAUCUCGCGACAACUGGAGCUGGAUAAUAGAGAGAUGGCCAAAAAGUUGUCUGAGACCAUGGCACAAUGUGACACCUUGAAGGAUGAGCUCCACACAGAGAGACAGAGAGGUACAGAGAAGCACAGCCAGAAUGUGCGCUACAUCCAGCAGCUGGAGGCGGACCUGGACGUGGCCCGCGAGCAGAACAGGCAGCUGCGGGAGGAGCUCCACACACAUCAGACUCGGGUGUUCAAGCUGGAGGCCAAUGGGGUCGGACAGUCGGCGAAGUACGAAAGCACCAUCACGCGUAGGGAGAUGGAGUUGAAGGAGGUGAAGUUGUACCACAAGAAGGAGCUGGCGUCGUUGACGGAGAAGUUGGACAUUGCUGCCGCUGAGGCCAGGGACAUGAGGAGCCAGCUAAGGGAACGAGAACAGGAACUCCUGAAGCAGCAGAGCGACACUUCCAGGAGCAGGUCCACGGUUGACCGCCUCGAGGCCCAACUCAACACCGAGGUCAAACUCAGGACGGACUAUGAGAACAGAAACCAGGCCCUUGACCAGGAGAUGACCAAGGUAUGGAGCCAGGUCCGGACGCUGAUGGAGAAGAACGCCAACCUGGAGAACACAAAGAGGAGUCUGGAGGAUGAACUGGAUAGGAGAAGUAGCAGCUCAAGGCAGGCGGAGAAUGUGUACGCCCAGACCUCCGCCAGUCAGGAGGCCACCAUGAAAUCACUGUACAAUAGGACAGAAACUGCAGAACUGAAGGUUACAGAACUCUCUCUCCAACCUUUAAUUACCAAAGCGGAGAAGCUCCAGAGGGAGCUGCAGGAUGUGUCGGUGAAGAUGCACAGCACAGAACAGAACCUCCUCCAGGCUGAGUCCACCAAGCAGGACAUGCAGGACAAGAGUGAUCACAUCGUCAGCCUCCGCAACCAGCUGGAAGGGGAAAAGCUACAGAGGACCCUGCUGGACCAGACAGUGGCGGAGCUGAAGCACCAGGUGGCAAUCUUGAAACAGCGAGAGACGAAGCUGGUAGAAGAGAACAGAUCUCUGCAGCACAGUAUGAUUGACCUUGAGUCUCAAGUGGAAGAGCUUCAGGACCGGAGUGACACAGCGUAUGACAUGCACCACCAAAUGUCAGAGGUCGGCAAGAAGACACUGCUUGAACAAAUAACCCGACUGCAAAAGGAAGUGAAGGAACUUCAGUAUGAACUGCUCUCCACCAAUGAGAAGCGAGGACAUGCAGAGAAACGCUACGAAGAUCGCAAGUUGAGAACAAAAGAGAAGUUGCUUAAAGCAAGAGAAUUCUAUUCCCACGAAAAAACACGAAUGAAUGAUCAGAUGACCCGAAUGGAUGAAGAUCUACGACUAACACGAGCAACAUUACGAAAAGAGCUGGAAUGGAAGGAAAAGAUGGACAUCAAUUAUAAACAGUUGCUGCAGGAGAAGCGCAACCUCAUCACUCAGUCACUUGACUAUUUACAGGAUGACGGAGGUGGAAGAGACAGUCCGCGAUCGAACUCGCUCCCUCUCCAUGUUACAAGUGCGUACCAAAUUCUUAGAGGAGGAGACCUCGAGACUACAGGACCAUGUCGACACUCUUUCUCAGCAGAAACACAGUUUAGAUAGGCUUGUCAAAGAUCUGCGCCUCGGCAAGGAUCGAGAUUAGUGCAGCUGUCAGGUUGCACGGGCUUACCCUACGGAUGAGCAUGCAGGGAGUUUCACAAGGGGAACAAGUGGAAUCGGAAACAGCAUAAACUCCAGCUGGGACCAGGACCACCUGUCGGAUGCCAUGUUGACGAUGCGAAGUUCCUC
Molecule: unclassified non-coding RNA, 5074 nt
Filed under: Haliotis rufescens (red abalone)
Lineage: Eukaryota; Metazoa; Mollusca; Gastropoda; Lepetellida; Haliotidae
Description: myosin-11-like, transcript variant X6
Source: RNAcentral